Molecule: transfer RNA, 71 nt
Filed under: Loxodonta africana (African savanna elephant)
Lineage: Eukaryota; Metazoa; Chordata; Mammalia; Proboscidea; Elephantidae
Rfam family: tRNA
About the family: Transfer RNA (tRNA) molecules are approximately 80 nucleotides in length. Their secondary structure includes four short double-helical elements and three loops (D, anti-codon, and T loops). Further hydrogen bonds mediate the characteristic L-shaped molecular structure. tRNAs have two regions of fundamental functional importance: the anti-codon, which is responsible for specific mRNA codon recognition, and the 3' end, to which the tRNAs corresponding amino acid is attached (by aminoacyl-tRNA synthetases). tRNAs cope with the degeneracy of the genetic code in two manners: having more than one tRNA (with a specific anti-codon) for a particular amino acid; and 'wobble' base-pairing, i.e. permitting non-standard base-pairing at the 3rd anti-codon position.
Source: Rfam by way of RNAcentral
GGACUGGUGGUUCAGUGGUAGAAUUCUCACCCUCCACGUGGGAUACCUGGGUUCAACUCCCAGCCAAUGCG